This 253-nucleotide ribosomal RNA is filed under the name uncultured bacterium. RNAcentral's name for it is "partial 16S ribosomal RNA". It matches the Rfam family "Bacterial small subunit ribosomal RNA", at positions 524 to 776 of the family's 1533-position model. The record is from RNAcentral.
UACGAAGGUGGCAAGCGUUACUCGGAAUUACUAGGCGUAAAGGGCAGGCAGGUGGUUUGGUAAGUCUGUUGUGAAAUCUCCCGGCUUAACUGGGAGAGGUCAACAGAAACUGCCAGGCUUGAGUAUAGGAGAGGGUACUGGAAUUCCCGGUGUAGCGGUGAAAUGCGCAGAGAUCGGGAGGAACACCAAUGGCGAAAGCAGGUACCUGGACUAUUACUGACACUCAGCUGCGAAAGCUAGGGGAGCAAACAGG